RNAcentral lists this ribosomal RNA (406 nucleotides) under uncultured bacterium. RNAcentral's name for it is "partial 16S ribosomal RNA". It matches the Rfam family "Bacterial small subunit ribosomal RNA", at positions 30 to 526 of the family's 1533-position model. The record is from RNAcentral.
AUUGAACGCUGGCGGCAGGCCUAACACAUGCAAGUCGAACGAGUGGCGGACGGGUGAGUAAUGUUUGGGAAACUGCCUGAUGGAGGGGGAUAACUACUGGAAACGGUAGCUAAUACCGCAUACCAUCGGAUGAGCACAAGUGGGAUUAGGUAGUUGGUGGGGUAAAGGCUCACCAAGCCGACGAUCCCUAGCUGGUCUGAGAGGAUGACCAGCCACACUGGGACUGAUACACGGCCCAGACUCCUACGGGAGGCAGCAGUGGGGAAUAUUGCGCAAUGGGCGCAAUCCUGACGCAGCCAUGCCGCGUGAAUGAAGAAGGCCUUCGGGUUGUAAAGUACUUUCGGCAGGGAGGCGUUACCCGCAGAAGAAGCACCGGCUAACUCCGUGCCAGCAGCCGCGGUAAUUC